GGGGUGGGUCCACCUCAGAUUCUGACAGGACUUCUGGCUUCUGGGGUGUUGGUGAGCCUUUUACCGAUGCACAAGUUCAUUGUAUCAUUGAUAUGGCUGACGUGACAGGAAAGGAUUAUUGCUGCCGGGGAGGAGGCUGAAGCUGCACUUUUACGAAGAAGAGAGAACAUGUAAACCAGUUAAUUAAACAUUCGGCAGAUUACUGCGAGUCGAUGCUUUUUUAUAUAAUCUCCCCAAAGGAGCUGUCAGUGACUUUAAACUCUAAAUUAAAAUAAUUGGGCAUCCCUUCGAAUAGAUGCUUCAAUUAAUGUGUUAGGCUGCCUUUUAUGCUGAAGUAUCUAAAU
Molecule: long non-coding RNA, 344 nt
Organism: Nematostella vectensis (starlet sea anemone)
Lineage: Eukaryota; Metazoa; Cnidaria; Anthozoa; Actiniaria; Edwardsiidae
Exons: 3
Source: RefSeq, a predicted model, not a curated record